GUCAUCAUCAUUAAUAAAAUAUCUCAAACCUGUCCUGUCAUGCUUGGAUACAUAGCACUCUGUCCACUACACUUUGUCCAGACUCUACCUCACAGAACAACCGUGUACAAUUUAAAUCAUAGUAAAAUAAUUUGGAUUUCAUGCUCUGUGUUUGGAAACAUUUCCCUACAGGGGCACAGAUCAGUGUUUCCUGUGACUCACACCUGAGUCUGUUGUCUGGCCCUGUGUUGUAACUGCUCCAUAAACCCUUCUCUAUUUCGUACAUUACUUCCUGCUUGGAAUUGAUUUCAAAAACCAAACACAUUGACACAAAAGAAUGUCUGUUAACCUUUGUCCAGUUCAAAGUCAUUGUUCUCAGCAAUUAAAGAGUUGUAUAUGGUG
Long non-coding RNA from Lates calcarifer (barramundi perch), 381 nucleotides. RefSeq lists it as uncharacterized. The record is from RefSeq and is a predicted model, not a curated record. NCBI's taxonomy places the organism in Eukaryota, Metazoa, Chordata, Actinopteri, Centropomidae. The transcript has 2 exons.